This 478-nucleotide ribosomal RNA is filed under the name uncultured bacterium. RNAcentral's name for it is "partial 16S ribosomal RNA". It matches the Rfam family "Bacterial small subunit ribosomal RNA", at positions 28 to 523 of the family's 1533-position model. The record is from RNAcentral.
GACGAACGCUGGCGGCGUGCUUAACACAUGCAAGUCGAACGGUAAGGCCCUUCGGGGUACACGAGUGGCGAACGGGUGAGUAACACGUGGGUGAUCUGCCCUGCACUUCGGGAUAAGCCUGGGAAACUGGGUCUAAUACCGGAUAGGACCACUGCCUGCAUGGGGGGUGGUGGAAAGCUUUUGCGGUGUGGGAUAGGCCCGCGGCCUAUCAGCUUGUUGGUGGGGUGAUGGCCUACCAAGGCGACGAGGGGUAGCCGGCCUGAGAGGGUGAGCGGCCACACUGGGACUGAGAUACGGCCCAGACUCCUACGGGAGGCAGCAGUGGGGAAUAUUGCACAAUGGGCGCAAGCCUGAUGCAGCGACGCCGCGUGAGGGAUGACGGCCUUCGGGUUGUAAACCUCUUUCAGCACCGACGAAGCGCAAGUGACGGUAGGUGCAGAAGAAGGACCGGCCAACUACGUGCCAGCCGCCGCCGUAA